Molecule: unclassified non-coding RNA, 253 nt
Filed under: uncultured Pseudomonadaceae bacterium
Lineage: Bacteria; Pseudomonadati; Pseudomonadota; Gammaproteobacteria; Pseudomonadales; Pseudomonadaceae
Description: contains 16S-23S intergenic spacer region
Rfam family: Bacterial small subunit ribosomal RNA
Source: RNAcentral
UACAGAGGGUGCAAGCGUUAAUCGGAAUUACUGGGCGUAAAGCGCGCGUAGGUGGUUGGCGAAGUUGGAUGUGAAAACCCCGGGCUCAACCUGGGAACUGCAUCCAAAACUGGCCGGCUAGAGUACGGUAGGGGGUGGUGGAAUUUCCUGUGUAGCGGUGAAAUGCGUAGAUAUAGGAAGGAACACCAGUGGCGACGGCGACCACCUGGACUGAUACUGACCCUGAGGUGCGAAAGCGUGGGGAGAAAACAUG